GGACCUUCAAGGAAGAGACCCGGAGCUGAGCUGAGCAUUUCAGAUCUUCUUGGUGAACUAGGACAUCACUAUGCUGGCUGCAAGGCUUGUGUAUCUCCGGACACUAACUUCUAGGGUGUUCCACCCAGCAUUCACCAAAGUCUCCUCCCCCGUUGUGAAGAAUUCAAUCACAAAGAAUCAAUGGCUCUUAACACCCAGCAGGGAAUAUGCCACCAGGUCAAGACUUGGAAUCCGCCGUGGGAAAACUGCCCAAGAACUCAAAGAGGCAGCACUGGAACCAUCAAUGGAAAAAGCAUAUAAAAUUGAACAGUUAGGAAGAUAUAUUGUUGCUGGAGGGGCUGCUGUUGGUCUUGGAGCACUGUGCUACUAUGGCUUGGGAAUGUCUAACAAGAUAAGAGCGAUUGAAAAGGCUGUAAUUUGGCCUCAAUAUGUGAGAGAUAGGAUACAUUCCACCUACAUGUACUUGGCAGGAAGUAUUGGUUUAACAGCUUUGUCUGCCUUGGCAGUAGCUAGAAGUCCUGUUCUCAUGAACUUCAUGAUGAGAGGCUCUUGGGUGACAAUUGGUGCAACUUUUGCAGUCAUGAUUGGAGCUGGAAUGCUGGUGCAAUCCAUACCAUAUGAAAAACAUCCAGGCCAAAAGCAUCUUGCCUGGUUGCUCCAUUCUGGUGUGAUGGGUGCAGUGGUGGCACCUCUGACCCUAAUGGGCGGCCCUCUCCUUGUCAGAGCUGCAUGGUGCACCGCUGGCAUCAUGGGCGGCCUGUCCACCGUGGCCAUGUAUGCACCCAGUGAGAAGUUCCUGAACAUGGGCGCACCCCUGGGCGUGGGCCUGGGUCUCAUCUUUGCAGCAUCACUAGAAUCGAUGUUUAUUCCACCUACCACUGUGGCUGGUUCCACUCUGUACACAGUGGCAGUGUAUGGUAGAUUAGUUCUUUUCAGCAUGUUCCUUCUGCAUGAUACUCAGAAAGUGAUCAAACGUGCAGAACUAACACCAAUGUAUGGAGCUCAAAAGUAUGACCCCAUCAACUCAAUACUGGCAGUCUACAUGGAUGUACUAAAUAUAUUUAUGCGAGUUGCAACUAUGCUGGCAACUGGAGGCAACAGAAAGAAGUGAAGCAACAGCAUCCGGCCUCUGAUGCAUCAUAUGCCGUCAUGUUUAGUAGGACAGAUGUUCAUUACACUCUUUGCACAAGCUGCUCUUGUUGAGGUUGGAGGAUAAAACCAUAUUGACACAUUUAAAUGUUUCAGUAAUGCAACCCCCAGGUCUGCUUUUUCUUUGAGAAUAAAUUCAGUAGUUCUCUUCUAAAUAAGCACAUAAAUAUGUCCAACUCUCAUGUUUGAGUAAUUUUAAGAUAUUUUAUUUAACAAAUAGGAAAGCUAAGGUUUACAUUAGGAAACAAGCAUUUUACCUAUUUUUGAGUUCAUUAGAGUAAGUGAAAAUUAGCAAGUUUGUGUGUACCUGUUCAUUUUUUGGGACGCAAUUUUUUUGUUGUUGUUUUGACACAGGUUCUUGCUAUAUAGUUCAGGCUGGCCUUGAACUCACUGGGUAGCCCAGGCUGGCCUCAAAUUCAAAGCAGUCCUCCUGCCUUAGCCUCCUGAGUAUUGAGAUGACAGGCAUGCCCCACCAGGACUGUCUAGGACACAAAGACUGAAGUAAUAUCAGAAUUGACAUAGAGGUUCUGGUACAGAGACUAGAGAGUGGGAUACCCACACCAUUUAUCCCCCACCCCUCAUUCUUAGGAUUGAGGCAGACAUGUGAGUAUUUGUAACAAACGAGUGAUUGCUGUUUUCUCGUUUGCCUUGGGAAUUGAGAUCUGGGGGACUCAUCCUCCUGCUCUUUCGGUGCCGUCUUCAACGUAGAGAUGUCCCAGUGAGGAUGUGUUCGGGCAGGCCAGAGUGUUAGUCACACUGGCAGUCCCCGGUGGAAUUAGGUAUAUGUGAGUUUUCCUUUUGACUCCUAAAGCAGCAUAUCCUGAAAACACCUCUAGAUAAGAUAAAAUGUUCAAAGCAUGGAAUGUAUAGCUUUUUAAAGUACACAAGCAGUAUGUUUAUAGUUUGCUGAAGAUUUGCUGCAGAAGUAGUGAUGUCUAAUGGAAUACAUCCUUUUCUCCACUUUUUGUUUUGAUAUCAUUACAAAAGCCUGCUGUGGUUUACACUGGAGGUUUUGAUGAAAGCA
This is an RNA transcript of Octodon degus (degu), 2173 nucleotides long. It is a transcript of the gene named growth hormone-inducible transmembrane protein pseudogene, with no coding region annotated. The transcript has a single exon. NCBI's taxonomy places the organism in Eukaryota, Metazoa, Chordata, Mammalia, Rodentia, Octodontidae. The record is from RefSeq and is a predicted model, not a curated record.